CCUACGGGAGGCAGCAGUGGGGAAUAUUGGACAAUGGGCGCAAGCCUGAUCCAGCAAUGCCGCGUGAGUGAUGAAGGCCUUAGGGUCGUAAAGCUCUUUUACCAGGGAUGAUAAUGACAGUACCUGGAGAAUAAGCUCCGGCUAACUCCGUGCCAGCAGCCGCGGUAAUACGGAGGGAGCUAGCGUUGUUCGGAAUUACUGGGCGUAAAGCGUACGUAGGCGGUUAUUCAAGUCAGAGGUGAAAGCCCGGGGCUCAACCCCGGAACGGCCUUUGAAACUAGGUAGCUAGAAUCUUGGAGAGGUCAGUGGAAUUCCGAGUGUAGAGGUGAAAUUCGUAGAUAUUCGGAAGAACACCAGUGGCGAAGGCGACUGACNGA
This 377-nucleotide ribosomal RNA is filed under the name uncultured bacterium. Its description in RNAcentral is "bacterial SSU rRNA". It matches the Rfam family "Bacterial small subunit ribosomal RNA", at positions 338 to 732 of the family's 1533-position model. The record is from RNAcentral.